AUGGGGAGGGGGGGUGGGCCUCUCCAUGUAAAUCACGUCAUUUGCGUGCCCCGCCCCGCCGACGCCGCUAGAUUCCAACAAGCAAGAAACGCCCCCUCCCACAGCCGGCCCCUCUCACUGCGUUCCCCCACCCGCGCGAAGGGGGAGGGGCGGAGGAUGCAAAUGAACCUCGUGUCUGCCAAGGACCCCAGUUUCCUUUCGCCCGGGUGUUGGGGGGUGGUCCCGAACUUCCUCGCCCCGCCCCGCGCGGGUCGGGCCUGCGCAGGCGCUGUCCCCUCCGCGGGGCGCGGUCACGUGCCCACCGGGCGAGGCGAGGCGGGGCGGGGCGUCGCCCGCGGUGGGGGCGGGGCAUGGCGCGCUGUGAGGCGCAGGGCGGCUGGCACAAACGGCGGCGCCGGGGCCGGAGGAAAAAGCUCGGUGAGGAGGUUGCGGGGCGAGAAGGGCGCAGGGAGGAGACAGAGUCGGAGCCCGGACGCCGGCGCGAGCUGGGCGAGGCGUGGGGGCGCGCUCCGGGGCCCGCGGGUGCUACCCCUGGGAGGGGGAUGGGGGGUGCGGCGCGGGGGAGGGGACGCGCGCCGGGGAUGUUGGGUGCCGGCGGUUGGGGGGUGGGGCGGGGGCGGGGUGCGCGAGCCGGGCUUAGGCCGAGGGGAGGGGGAAGGGAGGGGGUCGGAGCGGUCCCUAGGCCCUGUCCCCGUCGCCUACAGCUCAGAAGGGGCCGCAGGGCCCGCCCCCGGUGGGGAGCCUGGGGGUACCCGGGAGGGGGGCGACUUUUUCCCUCGUCCUGUCUCGGAGUGGGUGCACCCUCCUUCGUUCUUCCCUCUGUCGCCGCGGACCCUCUCCCCGAAGGCCCCUCCCGUCGGUCGGUCUCGGGACCUCCCUUCCGUCUGGAUGUGUGUCCUCCCCUGGCCGGCUUCCUCCCGUCGGGCUCGGGUCGACCCCACCGCCCCGCUCCGUCCCGGUCCCUCCCUCCCAGCUUCCCUCCGGUCUGUUUUUCGGUCCCUGGGUCCCUGGGUCUCUUUGUCCCUGGACUCCCCAGUUUCCUCUGUUGACCCCGCCACCCCCAACUCUGUCUCUGGAUCCCCCACAUUUCUCUGUGCCUCUCUGGAACGCCAAGGCAGAUCCCUCGUAUUUUGCAAACCCCCUCUUCCCCACCUCUCCACAGCACCCUUUUCUACUCCGUGUGUGUGGUUACUGCAUCCCACAGCCCACCCCACAGUCCUGUCUUGGGGUCAUCUACCCAGCCUCUGA
This is a long non-coding RNA of Callithrix jacchus (white-tufted-ear marmoset), 1248 nucleotides long. NCBI's taxonomy places the organism in Eukaryota, Metazoa, Chordata, Mammalia, Primates, Cebidae. The record is from Ensembl.